GCCCUUAGUAGCUUAAAACAAAGCAUUGGUCUUGUAAACCAAAAAUGAGAUAUUCUCUCCAAGGACA
Molecule: transfer RNA, 67 nt
Filed under: Takydromus kuehnei
Lineage: Eukaryota; Metazoa; Chordata; Lepidosauria; Squamata; Lacertidae
Description: tRNA-Thr
Source: RNAcentral